Molecule: long non-coding RNA, 269 nt
Filed under: Lathyrus oleraceus (garden pea)
Lineage: Eukaryota; Viridiplantae; Streptophyta; Magnoliopsida; Fabales; Fabaceae
Description: Pisum sativum (pea) long non-coding RNA (PSAT_LNC022278)
Source: RNAcentral
GGCCCAGGAGAAUAUUGGAGUAACAGAAUCACAUGUGGAGCAAGGACACAUGGCUAAUGAUCCACACAUCAAGGAGCUAAGGCGAGGAUUGAGAGCCAGGUGUCCUAACAGAAAAUAUUCUGAAGGAUACGUUAAAUAAGGAAAUGAUUGACAGUGAAUGGGGGAAUUGGUUGAGAGAAAUCAGAAUCUUUCCUCCCUCUGAGCUAGUCAGCUUUCUUGUUUUCAUUAUACUUGAAACCUUAAAUUCCAUAGCAGCUUUAUGACUCAAU